RNAcentral lists this transfer RNA (68 nucleotides) under Barnesiella intestinihominis. It matches the Rfam family "tRNA". Rfam says of the family: Transfer RNA (tRNA) molecules are approximately 80 nucleotides in length. Their secondary structure includes four short double-helical elements and three loops (D, anti-codon, and T loops). Further hydrogen bonds mediate the characteristic L-shaped molecular structure. tRNAs have two regions of fundamental functional importance: the anti-codon, which is responsible for specific mRNA codon recognition, and the 3' end, to which the tRNAs corresponding amino acid is attached (by aminoacyl-tRNA synthetases). tRNAs cope with the degeneracy of the genetic code in two manners: having more than one tRNA (with a specific anti-codon) for a particular amino acid; and 'wobble' base-pairing, i.e. permitting non-standard base-pairing at the 3rd anti-codon position. The record is from RNAcentral. Lineage: Bacteria; Pseudomonadati; Bacteroidota; Bacteroidia; Bacteroidales; Barnesiellaceae.
GGUAGUAGCUCAGUUGGUAGAGCAUCAGCUUCCCAAGCUGAGGGUCGCGAGUUCGAGUCUCGUUUGCC